This is a long non-coding RNA of Salvelinus sp. IW2-2015, 428 nucleotides long. RefSeq lists it as uncharacterized. The transcript has 3 exons. The record is from RefSeq and is a predicted model, not a curated record. NCBI's taxonomy places the organism in Eukaryota, Metazoa, Chordata, Actinopteri, Salmoniformes, Salmonidae.
CAGGAGCUGCAGACCCUGCAGCAGGAGGUUGAUGAUGACACUACAGAGGUCAUCCCAUCAGCCAUAUACGUGGCCCAGUUGUACCACAAGGUGACCAAGAUCAAGUGGGAGUAUGACACGGAGCCACACAUUCUGAGAGGAGUUCACUAUGGAGCUGACCUGGCCACGCCAAUCAACAUAGACACCUCUGUGCGGUCUCGGUGUUCAGUCAGUGAUGAGCUGUGGAACUUUGUCAGCACUGAAUGGUAGAAGAGAUCAAAGUAAAGUUGCCAUAUCUGUCCAGUAGUUGUUUGUCCUGUAGUUGGAUUGUCUGUUGUGUUUGUGUUGUGUGUUSUAAUACAUUUGUUUUAAACUAAGAUUGUAUUCCUAUUGUUGGUAUUGCCUUCCAUGACAUUUUGUUAUAUUGAAUAAAGCAGUUUUUCUAAACA